AUUGAACGCUGGCGGCAUGCUUUACACAUGCAAGUCGAACGGUAACAGGCCUUCGGGUGCUGACGAGUGGCGAACGGGUGAGUAAUGCAUCGGAACGUGCCCAGAGGUGGGGGAUAACGCAGCGAAAGCUGUGCUAAUACCGCAUGUGAUCUGAGGAUGAAAGCGGGGGACCAGGCAGCAAUGUUUGGCCUCGCGCCUUUGGAGCGGCCGAUGUCAGAUUAGGUAGUUGGUGGGGUAAAGGCCGACCAAGCCGACGAUCUGUAGCUGGUCUGAGAGGACGACCAGCCACACUGGGACUGGGACACGGCCCAGACUCCUACGGGAGGCAGCAGUGGGGAAUUUUGGACAAUGGGCGCAAGCCUGAUCCAGCAAUGCCGCGUGCGGGAAGAAGGCCUUCGGGUUGUAAACCGCUUUUGUACGGAACGAAAAGGCUCUGGCUAAUACCUGGGGCUGAUGACGGUACCGUAAGAAUAAGCACCGGCUAACUACGUG
This 492-nucleotide ribosomal RNA is filed under the name uncultured bacterium. RNAcentral describes it as "partial 16S ribosomal RNA". It matches the Rfam family "Bacterial small subunit ribosomal RNA", at positions 29 to 507 of the family's 1533-position model. The record is from RNAcentral.